GGAUGCUCCAUGACAACAUUAUAUAAUCGAAAAGGCUUAGGAUGCAAAGGCUUCUGCAUUCCAAAUUUAACAAGAAUAGGAGAGUGAUCAGAUAUUGAGGGGUUCAAGUAAUAUGCUUCCAAGUGUCCAAACUGCUGCAACCACUGAUAGUUACCCAGCGCCCAAUCAAUUUUACUGUAUACUUGCUUAUUAGACCAAGUGAAAUGCCAACCUUUAGCUCUGAUGGCAGUCAGCUGGAGGUCAGAAAUAAAUUCUUUGAAAUCCUUCGCUUCAGCAUCAGUCUAGAUCCAAUCCUGUCAUCAGAAUUGAGUACACUAUUAAAAUCACCACUAAUCAGCCAAGCAGCUUGGUUAGGGAUCUGGAAUGAUCUAAGGUCACUCCAUAGUUGUUUUCUAAGUGAAGCAGUAUUAUGGCCAUAUAUUACACUUAAAUGAAGACUGAUCUGGCUUCUAGUAUCUUCCAACCAACAAUGAAUAAACUGAUCAGACAUAGCUAGUAUGUGCAGUUGGAUAUGAGGCUUCCAAAUCAACCAUAUUCUUCCAUUAGUAGCAUUUGAAUAAUU
This 562-nucleotide long non-coding RNA is filed under the name Nicotiana benthamiana. RNAcentral's name for it is "long non-coding RNA (NBEN_LNC011236)". The record is from RNAcentral. Lineage: Eukaryota; Viridiplantae; Streptophyta; Magnoliopsida; Solanales; Solanaceae.